UAUGCUUUCUGGUAGUUCUGUAGUCUGUGUUUAAAGAUUUAAAAGUCUGUUACCGGUUUGGCAGUUAUAAUAUGUUAUAAUCUAAAAUGAUUAAUAAUAAAUAAAUCUGUAGGUGUAGAUAUACUACAGGAUAGUAACUGUUGGAGGUGAGCUGUGUGAAGAAGAGUGUCUUGAGUGAUCAGUGUCAGUAAACUGUUUAGUUACAGUUACCAGUGAAAUAAAAUACAGGAUCCAGAGGGAGCUUUAAUAGGAUUGGUGUGGAGUGGAUUGUUUAUAAUGAUGACAGUGAUAAUGGUUAUGAUGGUAUAGAAUUUAUAAUGGUAUAGAAAUCAGAUAAAUAAUUACAGUAAUGGUCCAGUAGAGGGCAGAGUUUCUCUAAAACUGUAGAAGAACUGUAACAGAUGGUUUGUGUCACUGAGCUGCUGUAAGAAUGGAAGUGAGGGAAGCUGAAGUGAAUUAUAUGAACAUUUAAACACUAGAGCAACACUGAGCUGCAGCACCACUGUUCAGUUAUGACUCGUCUUCAUCACUGGUGGCUUCCUUUUCUGAUUUUAGCAGGUUCCACUUCUGGUGAGGGAAUAGAACCAAGUUCUUCCACUGUUAAUGUCCUACAGGGAGGUUCUGUUACCCUGUCCUGCAAGUACAUUGGAUCUGCUGGUGUUAACGAGCUGCUGUGGUACCGUCAGUAUUCCAGAUUCAGACCUGAGUUCCUGAUCUUGGUCAAUGAAGCUAACUAUGAGAUUAAAGCUGACCCUCCAGUUUAUGGAGUUUCUGCAAAAGUAAACAAAGAGAAAAACAGUGUGGAUCUGAAGAUCUCCUCUACUGCUGUAUCAGAUUCUGCUCUCUACUACUGUGCUCUGAGGCCCACAGUGACAGGAAACCCACCAAACUCUGAACUAAAACUCUGACUUGCAGACUUCAGAAGAGUGUAUACACAUAUACACACAUACAUUUCUUCCAAAUUCCAAAUUAAAAUAUUGUAAUUUAGAGCAUUAAUUUGCAGAAAAUGAGAAAUGGUCAAAUUAACAAAAAAAGAUGCAGUGCUUUUAAACCUUAAAUAAUGUAAAAAAAAAAAAAAAAAAAAAAAAAAAACUAGUUCUUAAUCAUUUAGAAACAACAACAAUACAAAAGUUUUAUCUAAGGAAGAGUUCAAAAUCAAGAAUUUUUAGUUUACACACAGAGGUGUAAUGAUGGUAAUGUGCCACACUAGGGCAGGUCUAAUUGGGAUUUGCUGAAUAAAUGCAGGUUCUGCAUUUCA
This 1258-nucleotide long non-coding RNA is filed under the name Astyanax mexicanus (Mexican tetra). RNAcentral describes it as "lncRNA (ENSAMXG00005011701.1)". Lineage: Eukaryota; Metazoa; Chordata; Actinopteri; Characiformes; Acestrorhamphidae. The record is from RNAcentral.